Molecule: ribosomal RNA, 430 nt
Filed under: Acidobacteriota bacterium
Lineage: Bacteria; Pseudomonadati; Acidobacteriota
Description: Acidobacteria bacterium partial 16S ribosomal RNA
Rfam family: Bacterial small subunit ribosomal RNA
Source: RNAcentral
UGGGGAAUAUUGGACAAUGGGCGCAAGCCUGAUCCAGCCAUGCCGCGUGUGUGAAGAAGGCCUUUUGGUUGUAAAGCACUUUAAGCGAGGAGGAGGCUACUUGGAUUAAUACUCUAAGAUAGUGGACGUUACUCGCAGAAUAAGCACCGGCUAACUCUGUGCCAGCAGCCGCGGUAAUACAGAGGGUGCGAGCGUUAAUCGGAUUUACUGGGCGUAAAGCGUGCGUAGGCGGCUUCUUAAGUCGGAUGUGAAAUCCCUGAGCUUAACUUAGGAAUUGCAUUCGAUACUGGGAAGCUAGAGUAUGGGAGAGGAUGGUAGAAUUCCAGGUGUAGCGGUGAAAUGCGUAGAGAUCUGGAGGAAUACCGAUGGCGAAGGCAGCUAUCUGGCCUAAUACUGACGCUGAGGUACGAAAGCAUGGGGAGCAAACAGG